AUUUAAAUAGCUUAUAUUUUAGAGCAUAAUAUUGAAGCUAUUAAGGAAAUAAUUUUUAUUUUUAGAUA
RNAcentral lists this transfer RNA (68 nucleotides) under Bradysia sp. XQM-2020. RNAcentral describes it as "tRNA-Phe". Lineage: Eukaryota; Metazoa; Arthropoda; Insecta; Diptera; Sciaridae. The record is from RNAcentral.